Molecule: ribosomal RNA, 215 nt
Filed under: Osteocephalus verruciger (Ecuador slender-legged treefrog)
Lineage: Eukaryota; Metazoa; Chordata; Amphibia; Anura; Hylidae
Description: partial 16S ribosomal RNA
Rfam family: Archaeal large subunit ribosomal RNA
Source: RNAcentral
GCCGCUACUAAAGGUUCGUUUGUUCAACGAUUAAAACCCUACGUGAUCUGAGUUCAGACCGGAGUAAUCCAGGUCAGUUUCUAUCUAUAAAAGAGUUUUUUCUAGUACGAAAGGACCGAAAAAACAUGGCCCAUACUUAAUGCAAGCCAUAAUUAUUAACUUAUGACCAAAUCUUAAUAAGUACCUAAUCCACCACCUAACUCAAAAAAAGAGUA